UGAGCCCUGUACUGCGCGUCAGGUUCCAGUCGACGUGAGCCAACACCACGUGACCGGGAAUCCGGCUUUCGUUGGGGUUCGCACGCCCAGAACGAAACACGGGACGCUAUCCCCCAUCGGAGAGGGUACCCACCUGUUGAGGUAGGGUUCAACGUGGACGGAACCAACGGCAGAGACGGGGCUUUU
RNAcentral lists this non-coding RNA (186 nucleotides) under Candidatus Omnitrophota bacterium. Its description in RNAcentral is "Candidatus Omnitrophica bacterium (groundwater metagenome) 6S RNA". It matches the Rfam family "6S / SsrS RNA". From Rfam's summary of the family: E. coli 6S RNA was the first non coding RNA to be sequenced, but its function was unknown until recently. It consists of 184 nucleotides that fold into an extended hairpin structure with a large single-stranded internal bulge. The 6S RNA specifically associates with RNA polymerase holoenzyme containing the sigma70 specificity factor. Lineage: Bacteria; Pseudomonadati; Candidatus Omnitrophota. The record is from RNAcentral.